AUGGUUCGCUACUCUCUUGACCCAGAAAACCCCACAAAAUCAUACAAACCAAGAGGUUCGAAUCUUCAUGCUCACUUUAAGAACACCCAGGGAACUGCCCGGGCCAUCAAGGGUCUACAUAUCCUCAAAGCUACUUAGUAUCUGAAGGAUGUCACUAAAGAAGCAAUGUGUGCCAUUCCGGAGGUGUGAUGGUGGAGUCCGUAAGUGUGCCCAGACCAAACAGUGGGCUGGACACAGGGACGGUGGCCAAAGAAGAGUGCUGAAUUUUUGCUGCACACGCUUAAAAAUGCAGAGAGUAAUGCUGAACUCAAGGGUUUAGACGUAGACUCUCUCGUCAUUGAACACAUCCAGGUGAGCAAGGCACCUGAGAUGCGCCCACGAACCUCCAGAAUCUCAUGGCUGGAUUAACCCAUACAUGAGCUCCCCCUGCCACAGUGAGAUGACCCUCACUGAGAAUGAACAGAUGGUUCCAAAGCCAGAAGAGGAGGUCGCACAGAAGGAAAGAUAUCCCAGAAGAAAUUGAAGAAACAAAAACUCAUGGCAUGGGAAUAA
Molecule: long non-coding RNA, 552 nt
Filed under: Mus musculus (house mouse)
Lineage: Eukaryota; Metazoa; Chordata; Mammalia; Rodentia; Muridae
Description: long non-coding RNA chr16:90915179-90915731
Source: RNAcentral